AUUGAACGCUGGCGGAAUGCUUUACACAUGCAAGUCGAACGGCAGCACGGACUUCGGUCUGGUGGCGAGUGGCGAACGGGUGAGUAAUGUAUCGGAACGUGCCCAGUCGUGGGGAUAACGUAGUGAAAAUUACGCUAAUACCGCAUACGAUCUAUGGAUGAAAGCGGGGGAUCGCAAGACCUCGCGCGGUUGGAGCGUCCGAUAUCAGAUUAGGUAGUUGGUGGGGUAAAGGCCCACCAAGCCAACGAUCUGUAGCUGGUCUGAGAGGACGACCAGCCACACUGGAACUGAGACACGGUCCAGACUCCUACGGGAGGCAGCAGUGGGGAAUUUUGGACAAUGGGCGAAAGCCUGAUCCAGCCAUUCCGCGUGCAGGAUGAAGGCCCUCGGGUUGUAAACUGCUUUUGUACAGAACGAAAAGGUUUCUACUAAUACUAGGAGCUCAUGACGGUGCUGUAAGAAUAAGCACCGGCUAACUACGUGCCAGCCGCCGCCGUAA
Molecule: ribosomal RNA, 499 nt
Filed under: uncultured bacterium
Lineage: Bacteria
Description: partial 16S ribosomal RNA
Rfam family: Bacterial small subunit ribosomal RNA
Source: RNAcentral